This 253-nucleotide ribosomal RNA is filed under the name uncultured bacterium. Its description in RNAcentral is "partial 16S ribosomal RNA". It matches the Rfam family "Bacterial small subunit ribosomal RNA", at positions 524 to 776 of the family's 1533-position model. The record is from RNAcentral.
UACGGGGGGGGUAAGCGUUGUUCGGAAUUACUGGGCGUAAAGGGCUCGUAGGCGGCCAACUAAGUCAGACGUGAAAUCCCUCAGCUUAACUGGGGAACUGCGUCUGAUACUGGAUGGCUUGGAUCCGGGAGAGGGAUGCGGAAUUCCAGGUGUAGCGGUGAAAUGCGUAGAUAUCUGGAGGAACACCGGUGGCGAAGGCGGCAUUCUGGACUGUAACUGACACUGAGGAACGAAAGCCAGGGGAGCAAACGGG